GCGGCAAAGCUCAAAUUUGAAAUCUGGCGUCUUCGACGUCCGAGUUGUAAUUUGAAGAAGGCGACUUUGUAGCUGGUCCUUGUCUAUGUUCCUUGGAACAGGACGUCAUAGAGGGUGAGAAUCCCGUGUGGCGAGGAUCCCAGUUAUUUGUAAAGUGCUUUCGACGAGUCGAGUUGUUUGGGAAUGCAGCUCUAAGUGGGUGGUAAAUUCCAUCUAAAGCUAAAUAUUGGCGAGAGACCGAUAGCGAACAAGUACAGUGAUGGAAAGAUGAAAAGAACUUUGAAAAGAGAGUGAAAAAGUACGUGAAAUUGUUGAAAGGGAAGGGCAUUUGAUCAGACAUGGCGUUUGCUUCGGCUUUCGCUGGGCCAGCAUCAGUUUUAGCGGUUGGAUAAAUCCUCGGGAAUGUGGCUCUGCUUCGGUAGAGUGUUAUAGCCCGUGGGAAUACAGCCAGCUGGGACUGAGGAUUGCGACUUUUGUCAAGGAUGCUGGCGUAAUGGUUAAAUGCCGCCCGUCUUGAACCACGG
This 524-nucleotide ribosomal RNA is filed under the name Kluyveromyces marxianus. RNAcentral describes it as "partial large subunit ribosomal RNA". It matches the Rfam family "Eukaryotic large subunit ribosomal RNA", at positions 99 to 664 of the family's 3401-position model. The record is from RNAcentral. Lineage: Eukaryota; Fungi; Ascomycota; Saccharomycetes; Saccharomycetales; Saccharomycetaceae.